AAAGAUAAUUUUAACUAGUUUAUGUAUUCGGACACAUCAACAUUCCUAAUUCUCUUCUUAUGAAAUCAAAUUGUUCUUCACUUAGAGGUUUUGUAAAAAUAUCGGCUAGUUUAGUAUCAAUAUCAUGGCAAUGUCAUGACUUAUCAACUGCAUUGGUGUAUCACUUUCUCAAAUUAUAUUUAUCAUGGAAAUCAAGGCACAAGGUUUUCAAAACAUUUAGUUUCAAUGUAAAAUCCGAGAUAAACAGUGAGAGAAGUUUGUAACUCUGCAUAUGCUCACAAGAAAAAUAUAUCAGGUAACCAUAUCAAGGAUCAAGAUAAAGCCCAUCAUGGUGAGUAAUAUAAGGAGUUUACAACAACA
RNAcentral lists this long non-coding RNA (360 nucleotides) under Musa acuminata (dwarf banana). RNAcentral's name for it is "long non-coding RNA (MACU_LNC005279)". Lineage: Eukaryota; Viridiplantae; Streptophyta; Magnoliopsida; Zingiberales; Musaceae. The record is from RNAcentral.